AGGUGGGGUAAAAAGAGAGGUUUUUAGGCCUCGGAACACUGAAUACACUUGCAACGCAAGUGAUGACCUUUUGGGUCUUCACAGGAUAAGGUUACAGUUUAUGUAGGAUGUUAAAAAUCAUUAAAAGAUGGUAGAAUCAUGAAAAGAUGUUUAAUUAGUAAAGAUUAAUUUUUUUUAUUAACUUAUAACAUUAAUUUUUAACUAUAUUUAUUAGAUGGGAAUAGAGAUGCUCUAACCUUGAAAGAGACUCUGAAAUGGUCAAUGUGGAACAGAAACAUUAACAUUAAAAGAAAUGUGGAACUAAACAAGUGAUGGUGACACGCAACAAGUGGAGAUUAUGUUGUUCAAUAUAAGUGGGUUAAAAAGGUAUAGACACAAAAAUUGGAUCUAUUACAGGUAAAUGUUUAAUAGAUACAACUCUGUUACUUGCUUCAGCCAAACAAGCAGCAUCGUGGUAGAACUUUAUAUUUGAGGUGUACUUUUGAGCUUUACUCUACGUGCCAUAAUAUUGAGUUAUUUCACCAUGAAAUGUUAUGUUACUUGAUAACUGUCUAAAGCUAACUAUUAUAACUUAUGCAAAUAAACUAACACGCUGAAGAAGGAUAUAAUAUCUAGAAAGAAUACAAAUAAGGAUAAAACAAUUGUACUUUAUUUUGUCUAUUUUGAAGGUACCAGUAACUUAAUUGAUAACAAUAAACCUUGCACAAUGCUUGCUCAAGCAUUAGCACAAGUUAGCUAUCACAACAAUUAGUCGUGCUUAGAAACUUUUUCUUGAAGGAAACCUUUGUUUAAUGCAACAUUUGAACAUUCGUGUAGCUAAGGUGAGCAUUAACAAGGUUUUUUUCAUCUUAGGAAUAAAUUUAUAGUAUGCAGAAGGUACAUUUUGUUUGAAAUUGGUUGAAAAGAUAGUUUUUGCUCAGUAAGUAUAUUUUUAUACUCUAACAAAGAUAAUUACAUAUACCAGUUGGGAAUUUCAGAAAUCAUAGCAUAAGUUUUGUCAGUCAAAUGGUUGGAGGCCUCAUCCUUUUGUGGCAUUUCUUUGAGGAGUAUAUUCAGGUGUCCGCUUAUGCAAAAAAUAGUUUUGUGCAUUAAAAUAUAAAUUAACAUGUUUAUAUAUUAUUUCGUGCGCUGUUAAUUUUUUAUUCUAUAAUCUAAAGUAAUCAUAUUUAACGGAUACUGACUCUUUUCGUGCACUAUUUUAUGCAUCCUCUUAACCGAUUCUAGGUAAUUUUUACUUCACUAUUAGACUGUUUUUGCUACUUCUUUUACCCUUCAAAGCUUAAAUUUGUUUCACCUUGGCAAUAUUUCUUUUGAGAGCAAUACUUGGACAUAUCGUGGAAGGAGGUGCGCUUUCUUUAAAAAAAACUUUCAAUGUUUUGUGUUAACUAACUAAUUAUAUUCUUUAUUUUGUGACAAAUUAUUGGAACUUAUAUGUAUGUAUGAUCUGAGGAUUUAAGGAUGUUGCAGGAACUAUUUUAGAGGGAAAAGCAAUCCAUCCAUUAUAUUCUCUCGCUUUUUUCUCAUAAAGUUGUGUUCACAGUCUCUGUGUUAGUGUAUAUGUAUGAGAUCUUUUUUUUUAUACAAAUUACAUAUAUGUAUGCCAUUUGGAUACACAAAGGUAUUACGCAGUUAAAUUUUUAUUUUCAAUCUACAAUUUAAAUGGAUUUGGCAUGUAGGAUUGUGUCAAUGGUCCUCCUGGUGUGUCAAGUGGGAGAAAUACCUUUGUUUGUAACUGAAAAUGUGUUGUACAUUUUAUUAUUUCUCCUGCAUAAUAUUGGAAAUAUAUCAUCAGACAUAUUCUAUGUCGUUUUUACACGAUGUUGUGAUUGAUAGUUUUACUUUUAUUCGUUCCAUGGAAUAUUACUAUCAUUUGUGGUUGUAGAAUGAAUAGGCCUGAUUAAAAAGUGAAAUGGGUCUAAAUAGAGCGGAGUGGGAAUUAAUGAAUUCUCUUCCUCCUCUUUCAUCUUCUUCUCUUUUGUCUUUCAUUUUUGGGAAAUAAUUUAUUUAUUUGUGUUUUUGUCUUGAUUGUUUGGUAUUGGACAUACAUUUUAUAUUCUUAUAGUAAUAUAAUAUCACAAAAAUACAUAGAGAUACAAAAGAAAAUUAACCGUUGAGGUGAACUUUGAUUAACUAUCACAAAGUGACAUUUUCUCAACAUUCAUCGAGUGUUUUAAAGGUUACAUUUCUUUCUUUUUCCUUAAUAUGUUAUUUUGGAAAUUCAAAAUACUCCAAGUACGAUUUAGAGAAGGAAUGAUAAUGCAUAGAUAUUACAGAAAUAGAAAACUAAACCUUGUGUUGAACUUUUAACAAUAUUUAAAAGAACUAUUUGUUUUGUUGAAUUUUAAGUUUUAGUAUAUAUAGAUCUUUUUUUUUGUUUAAUAGUGAUGGUAUUAUUUUGUGGCAUGAUGUUUUGGAUAUCAUCAAUACAUGGCAAAUAAUACAACAAGGUACCAAUGUCAAUAAUUUAUAUUCAUUCAAGCAUAUUACAUUAACUAUUUAUCCAAUUUUAUUUUCAUCGAUAAAAGAAGAUUUAAUCCCUUAAUUUAAACCUUCAAAUUAGCCCAAUAAAAUUCUUGCAAUGAAGUAAGGUGUAUGCUUUCAUGUGUAUAAAAAUAAAGAAAGCGAGUCUGGAUGAUUUUAGAAAGAAGUAACCAAUCUUAGAAAUGCAACUACAUCACAAUUGAUAAUGUUAUGGUUGAAGAAUAGAGAAAAUAAAAUUAUGAAAAAUGUAACAAUAACUUUUCAUUCAUAUUUUAUGUAUAAGACCGCGCGAAGCGCAGGCAAAUUGACUGGUAUAUAUAUAAAAGAGGAAAUAGAUAUGAUGACUUGGCACCUCUCUUUUUCCAAGGAUUCUAUUUAUUUAUUUUCUCCUUUUUUUGUUUUUUUCUCUUAUUUUUAUGUUAAAUUAGCUCAAUAAUAGCUUGAGUCUUUAUUAUACUCUUUAAACCAUUCCAUUUAAAAACUCAAAAUGUCACCUUUCUUAAACCUUAUAGCGUUUCAAACUUUUUACCUUCCCCAUAAUUGCUCAUUAAACCUUAUAACAUUUUUCCCUUCCCCAUAAUUGCUCAUUAAUUAGAUACAUUAACAUCUCAUAUAUUGUGUUUAAAUGGCCAAUGUGUUUAGGCACUCAUUGUCACCCUACAAAAGCAAAUUCAGAAAAUGGAGGUUAGUCCACAUAUCAAGCAUUUCGGUAAGUUUUGUGGAAAAGAUCUGCGGAAUUGGGAGAGCAUAUUUUCCAAUUUAAAGAACAUUUUGAUAUAUAGCUAUUGUGAGAAAAGUGUAACAAAUUAUGCAAAACUUUACUGAUGCAGUGGGCGAAGCAGUUGAGAAUAAAUCGGUGUUAUUUUCACCUCAAGUAAUAAAUAGGCAUCUCUCACAUGCAAUGAGAUAGUUUUAUGUAAAAUUGAUGUGUAUUCCUUAAUUAAUUAUCUCUUUGAUUUCUUAAAUUGAAAAUAAGUUUCAAGAAAUUAGUACUCUUAUGAUAUUCGUGUAAUAGUCAUUUAUAU
Molecule: non-coding RNA, 3506 nt
Organism: Nicotiana tabacum (common tobacco)
Lineage: Eukaryota; Viridiplantae; Streptophyta; Magnoliopsida; Solanales; Solanaceae
Source: RefSeq, a predicted model, not a curated record